UAGCUCAGUCAGUUGAGCGUGGCACUAAGAGUGCCAAGGUCGCAGGUUCGAUUCCCGU
Molecule: transfer RNA, 58 nt
Filed under: Apaloderma vittatum (bar-tailed trogon)
Lineage: Eukaryota; Metazoa; Chordata; Aves; Trogoniformes; Trogonidae
Rfam family: tRNA
About the family: Transfer RNA (tRNA) molecules are approximately 80 nucleotides in length. Their secondary structure includes four short double-helical elements and three loops (D, anti-codon, and T loops). Further hydrogen bonds mediate the characteristic L-shaped molecular structure. tRNAs have two regions of fundamental functional importance: the anti-codon, which is responsible for specific mRNA codon recognition, and the 3' end, to which the tRNAs corresponding amino acid is attached (by aminoacyl-tRNA synthetases). tRNAs cope with the degeneracy of the genetic code in two manners: having more than one tRNA (with a specific anti-codon) for a particular amino acid; and 'wobble' base-pairing, i.e. permitting non-standard base-pairing at the 3rd anti-codon position.
Source: Rfam by way of RNAcentral